AACGCUGGCGGCGUGCCUAAUACAUGCAAGUCGAACGAACUCUGGUAUUGAUUGGUGCUUGCAUCAUGAUUUACAUUUGAGUGAGUGGCGAACUGGUGAGUAACACGUGGGAAACCUGCCCAGAAGCGGGGGAUAACACCUGGAAACAGAUGCUAAUACCGCAUAACAACUUGGACCGCAUGGUCCGAGCUUGAAAGAUGGCUUCGGCUAUCACUUUUGGAUGGUCCCGCGGCGUAUUAGCUAGAUGGUGGGGUAACGGCUCACCAUGGCAAUGAUACGUAGCCGACCUGAGAGGGUAAUCGGCCACAUUGGGACUGAGACACGGCCCAAACUCCUACGGGAGGCAGCAGUAGGGAAUCUUCCACAAUGGACGAAAGUCUGAUGGAGCAACGCCGCGUGAGUGAAGAAGGGUUUCGGCUCGUAAAACUCUGUUGUUAAAGAAGAACAUAUCUGAGAGUAACUGUUCAGGUAUUGACGGUAUUUAACCAGAAAGCCACGGCUAACUACGUGCCAGCAGCCGCGGUAAUACGUAGGUGGCAAGCGUUGUCCGGAUUUAUUGGGCGUAAAGCGAGCGCAGGCGGUUUUUUAAGUCUGAUGUGAAAGCCUUCGGCUCAACCGAAGAAGUGCAUCGGAAACUGGGAAACUUGAGUGCAGAAGAGGACAGUGGAACUCCAUGUGUAGCGGUGAAAUGCGUAGAUAUAUGGAAGAACACCAGUGGCGAAGGCGGCUGUCUGGUCUGUAACUGACGCUGAGGCUCGAAAGUAUGGGUAGCAAACAGGAUUAGAUACCCUGGUAGUCCAUACCGUAAACGAUGAAUGCUAAGUGUUGGAGGGUUUCCGCCCUUCAGUGCUGCAGCUAACGCAUUAAGCAUUCCGCCUGGGGAGUACGGCCGCAAGGCUGAAACUCAAAGGAAUUGACGGGGGCCCGCACAAGCGGUGGAGCAUGUGGUUUAAUUCGAAGCUACGCGAAGAACCUUACCAGGUCUUGACAUACUAUGCAAAUCUAAGAGAUUAGACGUUCCCUUCGGGGACAUGGAUACAGGUGGUGCAUGGUUGUCGUCAGCUCGUGUCGUGAGAUGUUGGGUUAAGUCCCGCAACGAGCGCAACCCUUAUUAUCAGUUGCCAGCAUUAAGUUGGGCACUCUGGUGAGACUGCCGGUGACAAACCGGAGGAAGGUGGGGAUGACGUCAAAUCAUCAUGCCCCUUAUGACCUGGGCUACACACGUGCUACAAUGGAUGGUACAACGAGUUGCGAACUCGCGAGAGUAAGCUAAUCUCUUAAAGCCAUUCUCAGUUCGGAUUGUAGGCUGCAACUCGCCUACAUGAAGUCGGAAUCGCUAGUAAUCGCGGAUCAGCAUGCCGCGGUGAAUACGUUCCCGGGCCUUGUACACACCGCCCGUCACACCAUGAGAGUUUGUAACACCCAAAGUCGGUGGGGUAACCUUUUAGGAACCAGCCGCCUAAGGUGGGACAGAUGA
This 1477-nucleotide ribosomal RNA is filed under the name Lactiplantibacillus plantarum. RNAcentral describes it as "bacterial SSU rRNA". It matches the Rfam family "Bacterial small subunit ribosomal RNA". Lineage: Bacteria; Bacillati; Bacillota; Bacilli; Lactobacillales; Lactobacillaceae. The record is from RNAcentral.